Molecule: ribosomal RNA, 501 nt
Filed under: uncultured bacterium
Lineage: Bacteria
Description: partial 16S ribosomal RNA
Rfam family: Bacterial small subunit ribosomal RNA
Source: RNAcentral
AUUGAACGCUGGCGGCAUGCCUUACACAUGCAAGUCGAACGGCAGCACGGGUGCUUGCACCUGGUGGCGAGUGGCGAACGGGUGAGUAAUACAUCGGAACGUACCUUAUCGUGGGGGAUAACGCAGCGAAAGCUGCGCUAAUACCGCAUACGCCCUGAGGGGGAAAGCGGGGGAUCGAAAGACCUCGCGCGAUUAGAGCGGCCGAUGCCUGAUUAGCUUGUUGGUGGGGUAAAAGCCCACCAAGGCGACGAUCAGUAGCUGGUCUGAGAGGACGAUCAGCCACACUGGGAGUGAGACCCGGCCCAGACGCCUACGUGAGGCAGCAGUGGGGAGUUUUGGACAAUGGGGGCAACCCUGAUCCAGCAAUGCCGCGUGAGUGAAGAAGGCCUUCGGUUUGUAAAGCUCUUUUGUCAGGGAAGAAACACCGGCUCUAACACAGUCCGGGAAUGACGGUACCUGAAGAAUAAGCACCGGCUAACUACGUGCCAGCAGCCGCCGUAA